CCUACGGGAGGCUGCAGUCGAGGAUCUUCGGCAAUGGGCGCAAGCCUGACCGAGCGACGCCGCGUGUGGGAUGAAGGCCUUCGGGUUGUAAACCGCUGUCAGAGGGGAGGAAAUACCCUGGGGUUCUCCCCAGGGCUUGACCUAUCCUCAGAGGAAGUACGGGCUAAGUUCGUGCCAGCAGCCGCGGUAAGACGAACCGUACGAACGUUAUUCGGAAUCACUGGGCUUAAAGGGUGCGUAGGCUGUGCGGAAAGUUGGGUGUGAAAUCCCUCGGCUCAACCGAGGAACCGCGCCCAAAACUACCGUGCUGGAGGAAGAUAGAGGUGAGCGGAACUUAGGGUGGAGCGGUGAAAUGCGUUGAUAUCCUAAGGAACACCGGUGGCGAAAGCGGCUCACUGGAUCUUUUCUGACGCUGAGGCACGAAAGCCAGGGUAGCGAAC
RNAcentral lists this ribosomal RNA (440 nucleotides) under uncultured bacterium. Its description in RNAcentral is "bacterial SSU rRNA". It matches the Rfam family "Bacterial small subunit ribosomal RNA", at positions 338 to 773 of the family's 1533-position model. The record is from RNAcentral.